This 442-nucleotide ribosomal RNA is filed under the name uncultured bacterium. RNAcentral describes it as "bacterial SSU rRNA". It matches the Rfam family "Bacterial small subunit ribosomal RNA", at positions 337 to 796 of the family's 1533-position model. The record is from RNAcentral.
CCCUACGGGGGGCAGCAGUGGGGAAUAUUGCACAAUGGAGGAAACUCUGAUGCAGCAACGCCGCGUGGAGGAUGACACAUUUCGGUGCGUAAACUCCUUUUAUAUGAGAAGAUAAUGACGGUAUCAUAUGAAUAAGCACCGGCUAACUCCGUGCCAGCAGCCGCGGUAAUACGGGGGGUGCAAGCGUUACUCGGAAUCACUGGGCGUAAAGAGCAUGUAGGCGGGUGAAUAAGUUGGAAGUGAAAUCCUAUAGCUUAACUAUAGAACUGCUUCCAAAACUGUUCACCUAGAGUAUGGGAGAGGUAGAUGGAAUUUCUGGUGUAGGGGUAAAAUCCGUAGAGAUCAGAAGGAAUACCGAUUGCGAAGGCGAUCUACUGGAACAUUACUGACGCUCAGAUGCGAAAGCGUGGGGAGCAAACAGGAUUAGAUACCCGAGUAGUCG